Molecule: transfer RNA, 72 nt
Filed under: Urocitellus parryii (Arctic ground squirrel)
Lineage: Eukaryota; Metazoa; Chordata; Mammalia; Rodentia; Sciuridae
Also listed under: 1 other name
Description: Spermophilus parryii (Arctic ground squirrel) tRNA
Rfam family: tRNA
About the family: Transfer RNA (tRNA) molecules are approximately 80 nucleotides in length. Their secondary structure includes four short double-helical elements and three loops (D, anti-codon, and T loops). Further hydrogen bonds mediate the characteristic L-shaped molecular structure. tRNAs have two regions of fundamental functional importance: the anti-codon, which is responsible for specific mRNA codon recognition, and the 3' end, to which the tRNAs corresponding amino acid is attached (by aminoacyl-tRNA synthetases). tRNAs cope with the degeneracy of the genetic code in two manners: having more than one tRNA (with a specific anti-codon) for a particular amino acid; and 'wobble' base-pairing, i.e. permitting non-standard base-pairing at the 3rd anti-codon position.
Source: Rfam by way of RNAcentral
GGGGAUAUGGUUCAGUGGUAGAACGCUUGCCUAGCAAGUGUGAGGUCCUGGGUUUGAUCCCCAGUACCAUUA